RNAcentral lists this non-coding RNA (191 nucleotides) under Nicotiana sylvestris (wood tobacco). RNAcentral describes it as "Eukaryotic small subunit ribosomal RNA". It matches the Rfam family "Eukaryotic small subunit ribosomal RNA", at positions 1645 to 1831 of the family's 1831-position model. The record is from Rfam by way of RNAcentral. Lineage: Eukaryota; Viridiplantae; Streptophyta; Magnoliopsida; Solanales; Solanaceae.
CUACGUCCCUGCCCUUUGUACACACCGCUCGUCGCUCCUACCGAUUGAAUGAUCCGGUGAAAUAUUCGGAUCACGGCGACGUGGGCGGCUCGCUGCCUGCGACGUCGCGAGAAGUCCAUUGAACCUUAUCAUUUAUAGGAAGGAGAAGUCGUAACAAGGUUUCCGUAGGUGCACCUGCGGAAGGAUCAUUG